UAGGUUAUCUAGCACAAAUUCUUUAAAAUUUAGUCCACAUCAAAUUUUUUUUCUUCAACUUACCAUUGCAAGAUGAAAGUCUUUUUCCUCUCUCUCUUCUCUCAUAUCUAUUUUUGAGAGAGAGAGCACUUUUUCUCUUCAAUUUUCUUAUAAAUUUGGAUCAGUUGAUCGAUUUUUAUUUCAUUUUUAUCGGACAAUAAACUUCCAACAUGGUUCGGAGUUUCUCUUCCGACUAAAUCCGUAUCUUCGCCUUUUGCGAUGCGAUGUUUAAUUCUCAAUUUUUCUUUUAAAAUUUGUUGCAGGUUUCAUCUCUUGCUUGGAGUAAUAUCUUUGCUUGCUUCUUCCUCUUGCCUAGUGCAAUGAUACUUAAAAAUUCAUUGGAUCUGAUGGUGGCGGAGCUUCCCUGAAGGUUGAAAUUUCAAUAAAUAUUUAAAAUAGAUUUACUCUGUUUUGCAGUGUUUUAAAUUCCAAUGACUAUAUCUUGGAAUUGAAGAUCGUCAAAAGGAAAGACUCAAGGUACAAAUCAAUUUGCUGUAAAGUUUGGAACUGUUGGAGAUGAAACGUGAGAUGCCGGAGGCGAAGAAUGGUGUCGGAAACAGCAAGGAUUGAAGACACACUCGAUGAAGGACAUGUGGAUUUCUAAUUGCUUGAGUAGUCACGCGUGUUUUAUACACGUGUUUAUUUUAUGUGUGUUCUGAUUUGAGUUUGUAACUAGGCUUAACAAAUUGUGUACUUUGUUUCGUUGCCCAUUAGGCUCUGAGACCAUGCCCAUCGCUGGAUUCAGAUGGAGUUCUUAGGUACUUUUACUAAUUAAAAUAAAUGAAAAAUGCAAAAAGUUCUACGAACCCGA
Molecule: long non-coding RNA, 850 nt
Filed under: Eutrema salsugineum
Lineage: Eukaryota; Viridiplantae; Streptophyta; Magnoliopsida; Brassicales; Brassicaceae
Description: long non-coding RNA (ESAL_LNC001853)
Source: RNAcentral